UACGAAGGGGGCUAGCGUUGUUCGGAUUUACUGGGCGUAAAGGGCACGCAGGCGGCUUAACAAGUUGGGGGUGAAAUCCCGGGGCUUAACCUCGGAACUGCCUUCAAAACUGUUAAGCUAGAGAUCGAGAGAGGUGAGUGGAAUUCCUAGUGUAGAGGUGAAAUUCGUAGAUAUUAGGAGGAACACCAGUGGCGAAGGCGGCUCACUGGCUCGAAUCUGACGCUCAGGUGCGAAAGCGUGGGGAGCAAACAGG
This 253-nucleotide ribosomal RNA is filed under the name uncultured bacterium. RNAcentral describes it as "partial 16S ribosomal RNA". It matches the Rfam family "Bacterial small subunit ribosomal RNA", at positions 524 to 776 of the family's 1533-position model. The record is from RNAcentral. RNAcentral also lists the same sequence under 1 other name.